CCGCUAUUGGAGUCCGAUUAAGACAUGCGAGUCGAGAGCUUUCGGAGCUCGGCAUACUGCUCAGUAACACGUGGGUAACCUGCCCUAUGCUGGGGGAUAACCUCGGGAAACUGAGAACAAUACCCCAUAGUCCACUACGCCUGGAACGGUGAGUGGAUGAAAGCCCCGGCGGCAUAGGAUGGGCCUGCGGCGUAUCAGGUUGUAGGGGGUGUAAUGUACCCUCUAGCCCUCGACGCGUACGGGUUGUGAGAGCAAUAGCCCGGAGAUGGAUUCUGAGACAAGAAUCCAGGUCCUACGGGACGCAGCAGUCGCGAAACCUUGACAAUGCAGGAAACCGUGAUCAGGGGACUCCAAGUGCCAGGAGUAAGAUCCUGUGCUUUUCAUCUCUCUUCAAAGGAUUUGGAAUAAGAGGUGGGUAAGGACGGUGCCAGCCGCCGCGGUAAUACCGGCGCCUCAAGUGGUAGUCGAUUUUAUUGGGCCUAAAACGUCCGUCGCCGGUCUGGUGCAUUCGUGGGUAAAUCAACCCGCUCAACGGGUUGAAUUCUGCGAGCACGGCCAGACUAGGGACCGGGAGAGGUGUAGGGUACGCUCGGGGUAGGGGUAAAAUCCUGUCAUCCCGAGCGGACCACCUGUUGCGAAGGCGCUACACUAGAACGGAUCCGACGGUCAGGGACGAAGCCUAGGGGCACGAACCGGAUUAGAUACCCGGGUAGUCCUAGGUGUAAACGCUGUGGACUUGGUGUUGGAAGCUCCCAGAGGGCUUUCAGUGCCGUAGCGAAGGUGAUAAGUCCACUGCCUGGGGAGUACGGUCGCAAGGCUGAAACUUAAAGGAAUUGGCGGGGGAACACCGCAACCUGAGGAUUGUGCGG
Molecule: ribosomal RNA, 869 nt
Filed under: uncultured archaeon
Lineage: Archaea
Description: bacterial SSU rRNA
Rfam family: Archaeal small subunit ribosomal RNA
Source: RNAcentral